RNAcentral lists this ribosomal RNA (212 nucleotides) under Sclerotiniaceae sp. Its description in RNAcentral is "partial large subunit ribosomal RNA". Lineage: Eukaryota; Fungi; Ascomycota; Leotiomycetes; Helotiales; Sclerotiniaceae. The record is from RNAcentral.
AAGCGCUUGCAAUCAGACUUGCACUUGGUGUUCAUCAGGGUCUCGUACCCUGUGUACUUCAUCAAGUUCAGGCCAGCAUCAGUUUGAGUGGUUAGAUAAAGGCUUAGAGAAUGUGGCCCUCUUCGGGGGGUGUUAUAGCUCUAGGUGAAAUGUGGUCUACUUGGAUCGAGGAACGCGCUCAUGCUCGGAUGUUGGCGUAAUGGUUGCAAGCG